UACGUAGGAGGCGAGCGUUGUCCGGAUUUACUGGGCGUAAAGCGUGCGUAGGCGGUGUUCCAAGUCUGUUGUGAAAUCUCCCGGCUUAACUGGGAGGGUGCGGCGGAAACUGGAACGCUGGAGUAUGGGAGAGGUAAGCGGAAUUCCCGGUGUAGCGGUGAAAUGCGUAGAUAUCAGGAGGAACACCCGUGGCGAAGGCGGCUGCCUGGGGCAUCACUGACACUGAGAAGCGAAAGCUAGGGGAGCGAACGGG
This 253-nucleotide ribosomal RNA is filed under the name uncultured bacterium. Its description in RNAcentral is "partial 16S ribosomal RNA". It matches the Rfam family "Bacterial small subunit ribosomal RNA", at positions 524 to 776 of the family's 1533-position model. The record is from RNAcentral.